AUUAGCUAGUUGCGGGGUAAUGGCCCACCAAGGCGACGAUCCGUAGCUGGUCUGAGAGGAUGAUCAGCCACACUGGAACUGAGACACGGUCCAGACUCCUACGGGAGGCAGCAGUAGGGAAUAUUGGACAAUGGGCGCAAGCCUGAUCCAGCCAUGCCGCGUGAGUGAAGAAGGCCCUCGGGUUGUAAAGCUCUUUUGUCCGGAAAGAAAAGCGCCGGGUUAAUACCCUGGUGUCCUGACGGUACCGGAAGAAUAAGCACCGGCUAACUUCGUG
This 274-nucleotide ribosomal RNA is filed under the name uncultured bacterium. Its description in RNAcentral is "partial 16S ribosomal RNA". It matches the Rfam family "Bacterial small subunit ribosomal RNA", at positions 240 to 507 of the family's 1533-position model. The record is from RNAcentral.